UGCACCUUCUUGAGGUAUCUGCCAACUCAC
RNAcentral lists this non-coding RNA (30 nucleotides) under Mus musculus (house mouse). Lineage: Eukaryota; Metazoa; Chordata; Mammalia; Rodentia; Muridae. The record is from RNAcentral.